Molecule: ribosomal RNA, 723 nt
Filed under: Skrjabinisakis paggiae
Lineage: Eukaryota; Metazoa; Nematoda; Chromadorea; Rhabditida; Anisakidae
Description: partial large subunit ribosomal RNA
Rfam family: Eukaryotic large subunit ribosomal RNA
Source: RNAcentral
AGUGAAAGGGGAAAAGCCCAGCGCUGAAUCCAUCGAUCACUGGUCGCUUGGAAUUGUAGCGUAUAGGUGCGGCUAUCCGCUCGUUUCGUGCACCCAAAGUCCCCUUGAGCGGGGCCAUAGUCCAAAGAAGGUGCUAGACCUGUACGGGUGGCGAGGCGGUCGGUUGGUCGCUCCUUGGAGUCGGGUUGCCUGGGAUCGCAGCCCAAAGUUGGUGGUAGACCUCAUCUAAGGCUAAAUAUGGCCACGAAACCGAUAGCAAACAAGUACCGUGAGGGAAAGUUGCAAAGAACUUUGAAGAGAGAGUUCAAGAGGGCGUGAAACCGCCGAGAUUGAAACGGAUAGAGUUGACGAAACUCGAUCGCAUUCAUCCGAUCCGCCUAGCGGUUCGGCGGUUGUUGACUUCCUCGAUGAGGGCAGCGCCGUCGCUGGCUGUUGGGUGUUAGAUCGGUGUAUUUGCGGUCGGUAUGCGCCGAGAGCUUUGCGAACGCAUGUUGACGUUAGUGUAGUGGACCACUCCCUCCGGGCGUGGAACCCUGCGCUGAUUGAGGCAUGUCGUUGGUAGGGUGUUGCUGGUGACGUCUCCGCUAUGGUGCGUCGGCCUUGUCGGGCUGUUGCGGCUGCUGGGUGAUCGCAUGCGAGCGCCUGUAGUUUGCGAUGGUACGGUGAGGUGCGGACGCGCUUGGGACGUGCAUCUCGGUGUGAACGUUGACCACCUAUCCGACC